RNAcentral lists this ribosomal RNA (874 nucleotides) under uncultured bacterium. RNAcentral describes it as "bacterial SSU rRNA". It matches the Rfam family "Bacterial small subunit ribosomal RNA", at positions 18 to 902 of the family's 1533-position model. The record is from RNAcentral.
CCUGGCUCAGGACGAACGCUGGCGGCGUGCUUAACACAUGCAAGUCGAGCGAGACCCACCUUUCGGGGUGGUGUUCUAGCGGCGAACGGGUGAGUAACACGUGGGCAACCUGCCCUCAGCUCUGGGAUAACUCCAAGAAAUUGGGGCUAAUACCGGAUAUGACCGCUGACCGCAUGGUCUGGUGGUGGAAAGAUUUAUCGGCUGGGGAUGGGCCCGCGGCCUAUCAGCUUGUUGGUGGGGUAGUGGCCUACCAAGGCGACGACGGGUAGCCGGCCUGAGAGGGUGACCGGCCACACUGGGACUGAGACACGGCCCAGACUCCUACGGGAGGCAGCAGUGGGGAAUAUUGCGCAAUGGGCGGAAGCCUGACGCAGCGACGCCGCGUGGGGGAUGACGGCCUUCGGGUUGUAAACCUCUUUCAGCAGGGACGAAGCGAAAGUGACGGUACCUGCAGAAGAAGCACCGGCCAACUACGUGCCAGCAGCCGCGGUAAUACGUAGGGUGCAAGCGUUGUCCGGAAUUAUUGGGCGUAAAGAGCUCGUAGGCGGUUUGUUGCGUCGGCUGUGAAAUCCCGAGGCUCAACCUCGGGUCUGCAGUCGAUACGAGCAAACUAGAGUGUUGCAGGGGAGACUGGAAUUCCUGGUGUAGCGGUGAAAUGCGCAGAUAUCAGGAGGAACACCGGUGGCGAAGGCGGGUCUCUGGGCAACAACUGACGCUGAGGAGCGAAAGCGUGGGGAGCGAACAGGAUUAGAUACCCUGGUAGUCCACGCCGUAAACGUUGGGCGCUAGGUGUGGGGCUCAUUCCACGAGUUCCGUGCCGCAGCUAACGCAUUAAGCGCCCCGCCUGGGGAGUACGGCCGCAAGGCUAAAACUC